Molecule: ribosomal RNA, 254 nt
Filed under: uncultured bacterium
Lineage: Bacteria
Description: partial 16S ribosomal RNA
Rfam family: Bacterial small subunit ribosomal RNA
Source: RNAcentral
UACGGGGGGGGCAAGCGUUGUUCGGAAUUACUGGGCGUAAAGGGCUUGUAGGUGGCCAACUAAGUCAGACGUGAAAUCCCUCGGCUUAACCGGGGAACUGCGUCUGAUACUGGAUGGCUGGAGUGUGGGAGAGGGAUGCGGAAUUCCAGGUGUAGCGGUGAAAUGCGUAGAUAUCUGGAGGAACACCGGUGGCGAAGGCGGCAUCCUGGACCAACACUGACGCUGAGUGAGCGAAAGCCAGGGGAGCAAACGGG